UUUCCGUAGGUGAACCUGCGGAAGGAUCAUUACCAAAAGAUAAUCUUUCAAAUCGAAAGAUCUUUUCCUUUGUGCUGGCUUUGACCGUAUGUAAUUUUGGGACUUAAACAUGGUAGCUUUUUUGUUACCGGUCCCAAAAACAAUUAUAUCAUCCUUAUGAAAAACUUACUGAAAACUAAACAAUGAUUUUAAUAAUCUGUUUAAAACAACUUUCAACAACGGAUCUCUUGGUUCUC
This 236-nucleotide unclassified non-coding RNA is filed under the name plant metagenome. Its description in RNAcentral is "partial contains small subunit ribosomal RNA, internal transcribed spacer 1, and 5.8S ribosomal RNA". The record is from RNAcentral.